This 1440-nucleotide unclassified non-coding RNA is filed under the name Leishmania donovani. RNAcentral's name for it is "gene:LdHU3.18.1230(CDS-product:hypothetical_prote in_conserved)". The record is from RNAcentral. Lineage: Eukaryota; Euglenozoa; Kinetoplastea; Trypanosomatida; Trypanosomatidae.
CAGACGACGCACAACGACUACCGAACGGAAAAUGGUGAAUAGACGCAUCGCCAAGGGCCACCGGCUGGCGCGCAAGAAGAAGCUGAAAACAGCAAAGAAGUCCUCGGGAGAUGGGCCUGCCGCUCGCGCGGGUGCCGGCAAGACAGCGGGGAAGCCAAGGACGGCUGCCACGCGAGUGCGUGUUGUGAAUGGUGUCAGCAAGAAGCAGCAGCAUUGCUUUGGCGAGAUCGCGUCGCUGAAGAAGCAGAAGAGUAAGCUUCUGAAGCAGCAGGCAGCGGAGCGGAUGGUGCUCAAGGAGCACUUGCGGGACCUCGAGGCCCGCAAAGAGCGCACUCGCCGCGGCGAGACUGCCAAGGCGGAGCGCCGAGAGCUUGCCAAGUACAUACGCCAGCUCAAGCAAGAGCAGCAGGUCAAGCACGCCUCUGAGCUUUCGAGCCUGGAGGUGGAACUGAAGCGGCUGAUCGGCGAGCGCGACAACGUGCGUGCGGCACGCGCGGCAGCAGGCAUGAACAAGGACGACGCCGACUGGGAAGACGUUGGCGACGCAGAUGACGACGACGUCAACGAAGAUGAGCUACAGCGCAUGUUCGCGCAUCUUACAAUGUAGGCUCUCCCUCUCCCCUUCCCCUCUGCCGUCUGCACGCCCUGCUGAUUCGUGUCGCGUUUUCAUUAGUGGCUGUGUGUGUGUGUGUGUGUACUGGACUGUGCUGGUCUGGAAGAGCUUGGAAACCGAGUGGGGAAGGGGCGGCAAUGUGGGCGGCGCGUUCUCGUUUCCGUUCUCCAAACAGCCGCUGUUGCACGUGUAUCGGUUAUGGGUCGGUGCUCCCCCAGCGCUGCUGUGCCUGCCCCUGUCCCCCUCCUCACCACCACAGUCCUUCCUUCGAUUGCCCCACGACCGCAUUUUUGUGCUGUGUGCCCUACAUCGAGUAAGCGAUAAUGCCCCCACCCUCACCCCCAUCCUCAUCCGUUCCCUGUCUCUCCGUCUUCUCCUCUUAUAAACCAGGAGUAACGUUAGGGUGAGGUUAAGGCAGGGAAGCAGGCGAGAGAGUUCAAGGGAGGUGCGGAGCACAACAAAGGCAUCGAAUCGAAAACAAGUCGCAUGUGCGUGUGUAUGUGUGUGUGUCCGUCACGGGUGCAACGAGGCGUAGACUGGCGAAUGGUCAGAAAAGGGCGGCAGAGAAGCUUAGGCAACAGAGAAGGCCGAUGCUGUUGCUUUUCGUUCACGGCUUUGUUUUGAGACUGCCUCCCUCAGCCGUGGGGCUUCACGAGCGCCGUGCCUCUUACACGCCUUUUCCCUCUCAUGAUACCUGGCACGCGUGUACGUCUCUAUCGAUAUAUGUACCCUCCUUCUCGCCUCCCUCUCUCUUUGGUUUCUCUUCCCAUACCCGCUGAACGGUGCUGGCGGUGCCUCCUGUGUGUGCGUGUCUGUCUGUGUGCAAG